This 680-nucleotide long non-coding RNA is filed under the name Homo sapiens (human). RNAcentral describes it as "HSALNT0402267". The record is from RNAcentral. Lineage: Eukaryota; Metazoa; Chordata; Mammalia; Primates; Hominidae.
ACUCAGGUAAUCAUCGCUGGCCUGGGAGGACGCGGCCCUCGAAGAGUUUUGGAGCAUCUCCACACUUAGAUGUUCAAUGCCUCACGUCUACUGGGAGGGAAGGUUCAGCCCUACAUGGUGCCUACUUCUUAGCCUGACAAUGGGGUAUCCAGCGGGUGAAGCAGUUGAGAAGUGGGCAGUCGACCUUGGCUUUGCCCUCCUCCCCUGAUGUAGACCCCGAGGUGCCCCACUGAAGAUGCCUUUGGGAUGGAAAACAAGCUCUUUGAAGAUUGUUUCCCAAUUCUUACAUUUGAGGCCAGGAGGAAGUUCCGAGGACCCAUCUUUCAGGAAUUGGCCGGACGUGGGCAAAUAAAUUGGAUAUCUAUUGAUCAGCACUCCUGCCAAUAACUUGGAACAUCAUUUCCCAGUCAAUGAUUUCACAAAUGAAGACACUGCAAAAUAGUGUUCGUUGCCUGUCCACUGUAGGAACUGAUUCUAAAUGUUCACUUCAGUGUGCCUGCCAGAGGAAUACAAACCCGAUACGGGUGUACUGGCCACGCGUUGGAGAGACGAAAAGGCUUACUGAACAUUCUUAGUAAAUGUGCCAUUUGUUCCUGGUGGGUGAAGCAUUUCAUGAUUCAUGCAAUAUUGUAAAUUUUUAUUUUCUUUACAUAGACUUGGCUUUUAUUGUAAUUCCUACU